Molecule: ribosomal RNA, 755 nt
Filed under: Escherichia coli
Lineage: Bacteria; Pseudomonadati; Pseudomonadota; Gammaproteobacteria; Enterobacterales; Enterobacteriaceae
Description: partial 23S ribosomal RNA
Rfam family: Bacterial large subunit ribosomal RNA
Source: RNAcentral
AGGGGAGUGAAAAAGAACCUGAAACCGUGUACGUACAAGCAGUGGGAGCACGCUUAGGCGUGUGACUGCGUACCUUUUGUAUAAUGGGUCAGCGACUUAUAUUCUGUAGCAAGGUUAACCGAAUAGGGGAGCCGAAGGGAAACCGAGUCUUAACUGGGCGUUAAGUUGCAGGGUAUAGACCCGAAACCCGGUGAUCUAGCCAUGGGCAGGUUGAAGGUUGGGUAACACUAACUGGAGGACCGAACCGACUAAUGUUGAAAAAUUAGCGGAUGACUUGUGGCUGGGGGUGAAAGGCCAAUCAAACCGGGAGAUAGCUGGUUCUCCCCGAAAGCUAUUUAGGUAGCGCCUCGUGAAUUCAUCUCCGGGGGUAGAGCACUGUUUCGGCAAGGGGGUCAUCCCGACUUACCAACCCGAUGCAAACUGCGAAUACCGGAGAAUGUUAUCACGGGAGACACACGGCGGGUGCUAACGUCCGUCGUGAAGAGGGAAACAACCCAGACCGCCAGCUAAGGUCCCAAAGUCAUGGUUAAGUGGGAAACGAUGUGGGAAGGCCCAGACAGCCAGGAUGUUGGCUUAGAAGCAGCCAUCAUUUAAAGAAAGCGUAAUAGCUCACUGGUCGAGUCGGCCUGCGCGGAAGAUGUAACGGGGCUAAACCAUGCACCGAAGCUGCGGCAGCGACGCUGAUGCGUUGUUGGGUAGGGGAGCGUUCUGUAAGCCUGCGAAGGUGUGCUGUGAGGCAUGCUGGAGGUAUCAGA